GAAAACCUCAAGAGGAAUCGCAGGUCGGGACGUUUGGUGUCUAUGCUUGGCUGAGGAGCCAAUGGUGCGAAGCUGCCAUCUGUGGGAUUAUGACUGAACCCCUCCAAGCCUGAAUCCCCCC
RNAcentral lists this non-coding RNA (121 nucleotides) under Lepisosteus oculatus (spotted gar). RNAcentral describes it as "Eukaryotic large subunit ribosomal RNA". It matches the Rfam family "Eukaryotic large subunit ribosomal RNA", at positions 3027 to 3147 of the family's 3401-position model. The record is from Rfam by way of RNAcentral. Lineage: Eukaryota; Metazoa; Chordata; Actinopteri; Semionotiformes; Lepisosteidae.